This 30-nucleotide non-coding RNA is filed under the name Rattus norvegicus (Norway rat). Lineage: Eukaryota; Metazoa; Chordata; Mammalia; Rodentia; Muridae. The record is from RNAcentral.
UAACCCUCUAGCCAGUAGGGGCUUAGGUGA